This 1229-nucleotide long non-coding RNA is filed under the name Suricata suricatta (meerkat). RNAcentral describes it as "lncRNA (ENSSSUG00005012897.1)". Lineage: Eukaryota; Metazoa; Chordata; Mammalia; Carnivora; Herpestidae. The record is from RNAcentral.
CUUCUGUUGGUUUGCAUUUAAGCAAAGUGCCCAUGAAAUGUCACGCUUCAUUUGUUGAGUUUUCUUUAUAGCAUACUGCCAAAUUUUCUUCCUUUUCUAGAUAUUAUGCUAUCUUAAAGAUAUUCGUUAAAUUGCUUAAUGAGCCAAAGAGAAAACUGUUACUCUUCACUUAAAUUAUUCCUUUCAGAAACUUUCCAUUUUAAAGUUCUGUGAAAGAGGGAAAAAGGACCUUUACCUGAAGAUUAUUAAGUACUCUUCCAUCAGAUACAACUCAUCUUCAAUUAUAGAGGGCUAAGAGUGUUUCUCAAGAAUUAUCUAGACUCAUGGUUCCACCUCCUUCUCCUUGCUGUGGAUGAACCAUGUGAUGAAUAUGUCUUAAAUUUUAGUAGAAAAGAACCCCCAAUGCUUCUCCGCCCUGCCAGUCGGGGCGGACCAAACAGGUACCACGGAACGCCGGGGACGAGCGCGCCGGAACCAGGCUUCGGUUAAGACAAAUCAGCUGCAAUUGGGUCAUUCCUGUCCAGUCACAAGGCACAUUGUCCGCCUCCUUUGUUGCGGACUGCUUCAUGUGACUGAGCUCUUGAUAUCGGAUGGCAGCAGAAGCCUGAUGCGCCCUUCUGCACUACGCUUUCAAGGAACUAGUCAUUGUAUGCAUUUCCCACAAGCACAGUGACCUUGGAAGCCACACGUUUAAGAUGGCAGAAACUCUGUCCUACCAAGUCCCUGAAUGACUUGGAGUUCAUGGGGCAGAACCCUUCUAAGCUGGAACACCCCUCUGGACCAUUUCGUUAGAAAUUAAAGCUUCUAUUGUGUUUGAAGGAUUAUAUUUUAAGGUCUAUGUUUUAAAAUGAGUAAGUCUACUUUAAUUAGUUAUGAUCUUAAAAAAUUAGAUACUUUAUUUUUCCCCUGGAAGUAGCCUUGAUGUUAUUUAUUUGCUAAUUUAUAAAGCUUUUGUUCUUCUGAAAUAAACCUUUUUUUGGAUAUACUUGGUUUUAAAUCCUGGCUCCACCACUUAGGAGCUAUGUAAUCAGGAUAAUUACCUCUGAGCUUCAGUUCUUUUCUGAGCUUUACAGUUCCAUCUGUAAAAUGGGAUGAUACCUUCUUCAUAGCCUGUUAUGAGACUUAGUGAGAUAAUGCUUAUAAAACACUGCCUGGAACAUAGGAAGACUUCAAUAAACAGUAGCAGUUUUUAUUGUAAUAAGAAUAAUUUUUAUUUAAAGUUUAUUUAU